GUAGUCCUGGCUGUAAACGAUGGGUACUAGGUGUGGGAGGUUCGACCCCUUCCGUGCCGCAGCUAACGCAUUAAGUACCCCGCCUGGGGAGUACGGCCGCAAGGUUGAAACUCAAAGGAAUUGACGGGGGCCCGCACAAGCGGUGGAGCAUGUGGUUUAAUUCGAUGCAACGCGAGGAACCUUACCAGGGCUUGACAUUGUGGUGGUAGGAGCCCGAAAGGGUGACGACCCCUGGUUUCCAGGGGAGCCACAACAGGUGCUGCAUGGUUGUCGUCAGCUCGUGUCGUGAGAUGUUGGGUUAAGUCCCGCAACGAGCGCAACCCUUGCCCUUAGUUGCUACCGGGGAAACCCGGGCACUCUAAGGGGACUGCCAGCGACAAGCUGGAGGAAGGUGGGGAUGACGUCAAAUCCUCAUGGCCCUGAUGCCCUGGGCUACACACGUGCUACAAUGGCCGGUACAGAGGGUCGCGAACCCGCGAGGGGGAGCCAAUCCCAGAAAGCCGGCCUCAGUUGGGAUUGCAGGCUGCAACCCGCCUGCAUGAACGCGGAAUCGCUAGUAAUCGCGCAUCAGCCACGGCGCGGUGAAUACGUUCCCGGGCCUUGUACACACCGCCCGUCACACCACGAAAGUCGACUUCACCUGAAGUCGCUGGGCUAACCCUCGAUGAGAGGGAGGCAGGCGCCGAGGGUGGGGUUGAUGAUUGGGGUGAAGUCGUAACAAGGUAGCCGUAGGGGAACCUGCGGCUGGAUCACCUCC
This 757-nucleotide ribosomal RNA is filed under the name uncultured bacterium. RNAcentral describes it as "bacterial SSU rRNA". It matches the Rfam family "Bacterial small subunit ribosomal RNA", at positions 790 to 1530 of the family's 1533-position model. The record is from RNAcentral.